RNAcentral lists this ribosomal RNA (1422 nucleotides) under Triticum aestivum (bread wheat). RNAcentral's name for it is "partial small subunit ribosomal RNA". The record is from RNAcentral. Lineage: Eukaryota; Viridiplantae; Streptophyta; Magnoliopsida; Poales; Poaceae.
AUGGCGGCUGAUGACUCGGACCACGGCGGCGCCAUCCACGUCCUCCUGCUACCGUACCCGAGCCAGGGCCACAUCAACCCGUUCCUCCAGUUCGGCAAGCGCCUCGCCUCCCACGCCGGCGUCCGCUGCACGCUCGCCGUCACGCGCUACCUGCUCGGCCAGGGCCGGGACCCGUGCCCCGGCGCCGUCCACCUUGCCGAGAUCUCCGACGGCUUCGACAGCGGCGGCUUCGCCGAGGCCGCCGGCGACGUCGCCGCGUACCUCGCCCGGCUGGAGUCCGUCGGGUCACGCACUGUCGACGAGCUGCUGCGGUCCGAGGCGGAGAAGGGCCGGCCCGUGCGCGCCGUGGUCUACGACGCGUUCCUGCAGCCGUGGGCGCCAAGCGUGGCCCGGCGGCAUGGCGCCGCGUGCGCGUCCCUCUUCACGCAGGCGCCCGCGGUGAACGUAGCCUACGCGCACGCCGGGGCUGGGCGGCUGACCGCGCCGGUCGUCGCCGGCAACGUGCCGCCGGAGCUGCCCGGGCUGCCGGCUCGGCUCGGACCAGACGACGUGCCCUCGUUCCUGGCCAAGCCCGACGACUGCCCCGCGUACCUCGACCUGCUGGUGAGGCAGUUCGUGGGCCUCGAUGCCGCCGAUUACGUGCUCAUCAACUCCUUCCACGAGCUGCAGCCACUGGAAUCGGAGUACAUGGCGUCGACGUGGGGGGCCAAGACGGUAGGCCCGACGGUGCCCUCGGCGUACCUGGACAACCGCCUGCCGGACGACGCCUCCUACGGCUUCCACCUGCACACGCCGACGACGGCCGCGACCAAGGCGUGGUUGGACGCCCGGCCGGCGCGCUCCGUCGCGUACGUCUCCUUCGGCAGCAUCGCCGCGCUGGGGCCGGAGCAGAUGGAGGAGGUGGCGGAAGGCCUUUUCAACAGCGGCGCGUCCUUCCUGUGGGUUGUCAGGGCCUUGGAGACGUCCAAGAUCCCCGACGGCUUCGCCGACAAGGCGGGCGGGAGCGGCUUGAUCGUGCCAUGGUCGGCGCAGCUGGAGGUGCUGGCGCACGGCGCCGUUGGGUGCUUCGUGACGCACUGCGGGUGGAACUCGACAACGGAGGCGCUGAGCGCCGGGGUGCCGAUGGUGGCGGUGCCGCACUGGUCGGACCAGCCGACGAACGCCAAGUACAUCGAGGACGUGUGGCGCGUCGGCGUGCGGGCGCGGCCGGACGCGGUUGGGGUGGUGAGGCGGGAGGAGGUGGAGCAUUGCGUGAGGGAGGUGAUGGGGAGCGAGGAGUACCGGACGAGGGCGACGGAGUGGAGUGUGAAGACGAAGGCGGCCAUGAGCGAAGGCGGGAGCUCCGACCGCAACAUCUUGGAGUUUCUCCGUGGACUCGGAUCGAGGAAAUCCGAGCGGUGGAGAGCGGCGGAAGAUCUGUAG